AGAGUUUGAUCCUGGCUCAGGGUUAACGCUGGCGGCGCGCAUAACACAUGCAAGUCGAGCGAGGGCUUAUUUCCCGCAAGGGAGAUGAGUUCCUAGCGGCGAACGGGUGAGUAACACGUGGGCAACCUUUCCUAUCGCGGGGGAUAACACCGGGAAACCGAUGCUAAUACCGCAUGUCGUCACCGGCCGCAUGGCUGGUGAAGAAAGCAGCAAUGCACGAUGGGGUGGGCCCGCGGCCUAUCAGCUAGUCGGUGGGGUAACGGCCUACCGAGGCGAUGACGGGUAGCUGGUCUGAGAGGACGACCAGCCACACGGGGACUGAGACACGGCCCCGACUCCUACGGGAGGCAGCAGUGAGGAAUCUUCCGCAAUGGGCGAAAGCCUGACGGAGCGACGCCGCGUGUGGGAUGAAGUCCUUCGGGAUGUAAACCACUGUCGGGGGGGAAGACAUCGACGGUACCCUCCAAGAAAGCCCCGGCUAACUACGUGCCAGCAGCCGCGGUAAUACGUAGGGGGCAAGCGUUAUCCAGAUUUACUGGGCGUAAAGCGCGUGUAGGCGGCUGGUUAGGUGUGAUGUGAAAUCUUCCGGCUCAACCGGAAAACUGCAUUGCAAACCGGCCUGGCUAGAGUGCAGGAGAGGGAAGCGGAAUUCCAGGUGUAGCGGUGAAAUGC
This 672-nucleotide ribosomal RNA is filed under the name uncultured bacterium. RNAcentral's name for it is "bacterial SSU rRNA". It matches the Rfam family "Bacterial small subunit ribosomal RNA", at positions 8 to 689 of the family's 1533-position model. The record is from RNAcentral.